UGGAAGUAAAAGUCGUAACAAGGUCUCCGUUGGUGAACCAGCGGAGGGAUCAUUACCGAGUUUUCAACUCCCAAACCCCUGUGAACAUACCAUUUUGUUGCCUCGGCGGUGCCUGUUCCGACAGCCCGCCAGAGGACCCCAAACCCAAAUUUCCUUGAGUGAGUCUUCUGAGUAACCGAUUAAAUUAAUCAAAACUUUCAACAACGGAUCUCUUGGUUCUGGCAUCGAUGAAGAACGCAGCGAAAUGCGAUAAGUAAUGUGAAUUGCAGAAUUCAGUGAAUCAUCGAAUCUUUGAACGCACAUUGCGCCCGCCAGUAUUCUGGCGGGCAUGCCUGUUCGAGCGUCAUUUCAACCCUCAAGCCCCCGGGCUUGGUGUUGGGGAUCGGCGAGCCUCUGCGCCCGCCGUCCCCUAAAUUUAGUGGCGGUCACGUUGUAACUUCCUCUGCGUAGUAGCACACUUAGCACUGGGAAACAGCGCGGCCACGCCGUAAAACCCCCAACUUUAGAAUGUUGACCUCG
RNAcentral lists this small RNA (519 nucleotides) under Ilyonectria sp. M64. RNAcentral's name for it is "eukaryotic LSU rRNA". The stretch from base 193 to 346 matches the Rfam family "5.8S ribosomal RNA". Lineage: Eukaryota; Fungi; Ascomycota; Sordariomycetes; Hypocreales; Nectriaceae. The record is from RNAcentral.